Molecule: long non-coding RNA, 2194 nt
Filed under: Bos indicus x Bos taurus (hybrid cattle)
Lineage: Eukaryota; Metazoa; Chordata; Mammalia; Artiodactyla; Bovidae
Description: lncRNA (ENSBIXG00005001508.1)
Source: RNAcentral
UGGAGGGGCCGAGCAAGGCACUUCACAUACAAUGCAAGGUCUCAAUGCUCACAACAGCCCUGGGAAGUAGGUUUUACUAUUCGCAGUGUAUAGACGAGGUAACCGCUCAGAGAGAUUAGCUUUCCCAAGAGCUCCCAGCUUUUAAGUGGAAGAUCUAAAUCCUAAAUCUGUUCGACUAAAAGCCCGGAGUAACUGGGCGGAGGGCCUUGUGCCGCUCCGUGCUGGUCUGAGGUCGGGAACUGUGAAUCAUAUUUAUUUAUGCAACGCUGAGCACGUGUCUGUGUGUGUAAUUCACAAACGAAAAAACAAAUCCAGGUCCGGGUAUCUGUUCUCUGGAAGUUUAGAAGCCUGCGUGGUGGAGAGCUGCCAAAGUCUGCCCUCAUUCAUUCGCUCCUUGGAUCCCGUAAGAAGUGUUUGUGGCGCACUUGGGUAUUCCGGGCGGGGCGCUAAACUAGAAGAGGGGACGGCGAGCCGGCUGCUCCCCAGCCUGACUUGACUUUCUCCGGGGCAAGGGUUAGGGUUAAGGGAAGCAGAAACGGUAUGGAGCCGGCUGGGGCGCGAGCCGCACCGGCGGCGGGGAGCGGGGGGGCGGCGAGCGGCGGCUGGCCGGGGCGGGCGGGCGCCCGGAGGCGGGCUCCCCGAGGCGAGCCCGGGGCCUCCGGCGGAGCGUCUCGGAGCAGCGGCGGUGGAGAGCCGGGCGAGGGGCCGCGGCACGCGGGCGGGCGGCCGGGCCGGGCGGGCGCGUUAGGGUUAGGGAGGGAGGAUUCGGCUUCCCGGCGGCAGAGGGCGCCUGGCGCUGCCGGCCGGGGCCGCGCGCCCGGGCGCCGGGAGGCGAGGCGGGGAGCGUGAGCGGCGGCCACCGCCACGUCUUCCCGGCAGCGGCAGCGCAGGCGGAGGUGAGCGGCGGCGCGGGCCGGGCCAGGCCGGGCGGGGGGCGGCGGCCCCGUGGUUCCCGCCGCGCCCGCCCGGCGCAGAGCCGGGCGGCUGCCGAGGCCCGGGCCCGGAGCGCGUCCCGAGCGCAACUCGUGCCGGCCGCGGGCGGGGGCCGCGGGGCCGCGCGUCUCUGCGCGGGGCCGGGGUCUCCGCGCUGCGGGCUGGAGCCGCGGCCGGGAAAGUUGGGGCAGACCGCGAGCCCCGGCCGGGCGGGAAGUGCGGGCGCGCGGCGGCCCCGGGGGACUGGGGCACGCGGGGCGCCGGAGGCGGCGGGCGCGGGUGUUCGGCGCGCGGAAAGGAAGGGGCGCGAUCGGGGUCCCCGGCUGGAGUCCGCAGGUACCCGGCGGGGCCCGUGCCUGGAGUGGAUGAGCAGUGGAUCCACUUGGAGCAGCCUUGCUCGAAGAAUACCCCCAGGAUCUCUCCUUGCUGUGGGAAUAAUCCAAAUCACCUUUCCUGGAAGUCAGUUUGCUGAAACUACUGAAGCCAGCAGUUCUUGGAAGUUGAAGAAAAGGAGAUCCGGCGCCUUGACCUGAGGGGUGUGGCCCUCCCGUCGGAACCGGCUCCAGACGCGCCCUCCUAGCAGCCCAGGAAGAUGCGGCAGCUCAAGGGGAAGCCCAAGAAGGAGACGUCCCGGGACAAGAAGGAGCGGAAGCAGGCCAUGCAGGAGGCGCGGCGGCAGAUCACCACGGUGGUGCUGCCCACGCUGGCCGUGGUGGUGCUGCUCAUCGUGGUGUUCGUGUACGUGGCCACGCGCCCCGCCAGCACCGAGUGAGGGCGCAGACGAGUGGCUUCCGUGCACAGGGUUUCCUGAGCUCUGAGCAGGGGCCCCCUGUCUUCUCUGGUCUGUGACUUGAUUAAAGUUUCUCCACUUUUCUCGGGAAGGGAAUAGGGAACGUUUUAUCACUGAAUGUGCCAUACACCUUACGGUCCACUUCAUGUGCCUUUCAGACUUCAAAGCCGUGUGUGUGUGUGUGUGUGUGUGUGUGUGUGUGUGUGUGUGUGUGUGGUGUGGUGUGUGUUUCUCUCCUCUAAUCAAUAUGUCAACAGCUUCACCUGGUGAGAGGAGGAAUCUCUGGGUCACGGAUCAGUUGGGAUCAGUGCUUCUUACCCCAUCCCUGUCGCUUUGAACAUGACUCUUUCCUACACGUGUUCACGAUUUCCGAAGGGACUGUAAUUCUUCUCUGUGCUUCAUGUGAUUUGAAAUAUAUGUCGACUCAAAAGUGAAAUAUUUAUUUUUUGAAUAAAGGAGAUAAUAGCCUUA